GGGGGGAUAGCUCAGUUGGGAAGAUCUGAGCUUGGUUUCCCUCUCGAAUUUUCGAAAGGUCGUAGGUUCGAAUCCCGCUCCCCUCC
Molecule: transfer RNA, 86 nt
Filed under: Copromyces sp. CBS 386.78
Lineage: Eukaryota; Fungi; Ascomycota; Sordariomycetes; Sordariales; Sordariaceae
Description: tRNA-Glu
Source: RNAcentral